UACAGAGGGUGCUAGCGUUAUUCGGAAUCACUGGGCUUAAAGGGCGCGUAGGCGGGUCACCAAGUCCGGGGUGAAAUCCCACGGCCCAACCGUGGAAGUGCCUUGGAUACUGGUGACCUCGAGGGGGGUAGGGGCGUGCGGAACUCAGGGUGGAGCGGUGAAAUGCGUAGAUAUCCUGAGGAACACCGGUGGCGAAAGCGGCGCGCUGGACCCCUUCUGACGCUGAGGCGCGAAAGCCAGGGGAGCAAACGGG
RNAcentral lists this ribosomal RNA (253 nucleotides) under uncultured bacterium. Its description in RNAcentral is "partial 16S ribosomal RNA". It matches the Rfam family "Bacterial small subunit ribosomal RNA", at positions 524 to 776 of the family's 1533-position model. The record is from RNAcentral.